RNAcentral lists this transfer RNA (66 nucleotides) under Psammophis lineolatus. RNAcentral's name for it is "tRNA-Phe". It matches the Rfam family "tRNA". From Rfam's summary of the family: Transfer RNA (tRNA) molecules are approximately 80 nucleotides in length. The record is from RNAcentral. Lineage: Eukaryota; Metazoa; Chordata; Lepidosauria; Squamata.
GUUGUCAUAGCUUAAAGCUUCAAAGCGCGGCACUGAAGAUGCCGAAAUGGACUACACCUGAUAACA